This 232-nucleotide ribosomal RNA is filed under the name uncultured bacterium. Its description in RNAcentral is "partial 16S ribosomal RNA". It matches the Rfam family "Bacterial small subunit ribosomal RNA", at positions 99 to 334 of the family's 1533-position model. The record is from RNAcentral.
CGGACGGGUGAGUAAUGUCUGGGAAACUGCCUGAUGGAGGGGGGUAACUACUGGAAACGGUAGCUAAUACCGCAUAACGUCGCAAGACCAAAGAGGGGGACCUUAGGGCCUCUUGCCAUCGGAUGUGCCCAGAUGGGAUUAGCUAGUAGGUGGGGUAAUGGCUCACCUAGGCGACGAUCCCUAGCUGGUCUGAGAGGAUGACCAGCCACACUGGAACUGAGACACGGUCCAG